AACGAACGCUGGCGGCAUGCCUAACACAUGCAAGUCGAACGAGACCUUCGGGUCUAGUUGCGCUCGGGUGCGUCACGCGUGGGAACCUGCCCUUAGGUUCGGAAUACCUCCCCGAAAGGGGUGCUAAUACCGGAUAAUGUCUUCGGACCAAAGAUUUAUCGCCUUUGGAUGGGCCCGCGUUGGUUUAGCUAGUCGGUAGGGUAAAAGCCUACCAAGGCGACGACACAUAGCUGGUCUGAGAGGAUGAUCAGCCACACUGGGACUGAGACACGGCCGAGACUCCUACGGGAGGCAGCAGUGGGGAAUAUUGGACAAUGGGCGAAAGCCUGAUCCAGCAAGGCCGCGUGAGUGAUGAAGGCCUUAGGGUUGUAAAGCUCUUUUACCCGGGAUGAUAAUGACAGUACCGGGAGAAUAAGCUCCGGCUAACUCCGUG
This 433-nucleotide ribosomal RNA is filed under the name uncultured bacterium. RNAcentral describes it as "partial 16S ribosomal RNA". It matches the Rfam family "Bacterial small subunit ribosomal RNA", at positions 29 to 507 of the family's 1533-position model. The record is from RNAcentral.